Molecule: ribosomal RNA, 301 nt
Filed under: uncultured bacterium
Lineage: Bacteria
Description: partial 16S ribosomal RNA
Rfam family: Bacterial small subunit ribosomal RNA
Source: RNAcentral
CAGUAGCCGCGGGAAUACGAAGGGGGCUAGCGUUGUUCGGAUUUACUGGGCGUAAAGGGCGCGUAGGCGGACUGAUAAGUCAGGGGUGAAAUCCCAAGGCUCAACCUUGGAACUGCCUUUGAUACUGUUUGUCUUGAGUUCGAGAGAGGUAAGUGGAACUGCGAGUGUAGAGGUGAAAUUCGUAGAUAUUCGCAAGAACACCAGUGGCGAAGGCGGCUUACUGGCUCGAAACUGACGCUGAGGCGCGAAAGCGUGGGGAGCAAACAGGAUUAGAUACCCCUGUAGUCCCUGUCUCUUAUAC